GGGCCCGUAGCUCAGUGGUAAGAGCAUGCGGCUCAUAACCGCUUGGUCGUGGGUUCGAACCCCACCGGGCCCACCA
RNAcentral lists this transfer RNA (76 nucleotides) under bacterium. RNAcentral's name for it is "tRNA-Met". It matches the Rfam family "tRNA". Rfam says of the family: Transfer RNA (tRNA) molecules are approximately 80 nucleotides in length. The record is from RNAcentral.